CUUGCAAUUUCCACCGUAAAUAUUUAUAAUAUACGCGUCGCGCAAGCGAUGAUGAUUCUGAAAUCUUUGUGGAAUAGACGUUUUGGACUGGGGGGCGGUACCCCACAGCUCCACCAAUUUUAUUUCGAUUUCAGAAAAUCAUUGUGGUUGUUUGACCGCAGUGGUUGAACGUCGGGGGGCUGACAUAGUUUCGACAGGCGCAGUAAAGACAAAAGAUUGAAUCCGACAUGGCGUCGUUAAAAGCCGAUUAAAAACUGAAUGGCGAUAGAAUCGCUGCGAACGACAAUGUUCGCCUUGCAAUGGCUGCCUAAUAUGGCAUCGGAUAUGAUUGGCAAUUGUUGAUUGUAUCCAUUUCGCUUAUUGCGGGGUUGGUCGGGUACCUGGCACCAGAAACCC
This 396-nucleotide transfer-messenger RNA is filed under the name human gut metagenome. Its description in RNAcentral is "Alphaproteobacteria transfer-messenger RNA". It matches the Rfam family "Alphaproteobacteria transfer-messenger RNA". Rfam says of the family: Bacterial tmRNA, also known as 10Sa RNA or SsrA, is named for its dual tRNA and mRNA-like properties. The record is from RNAcentral.